GCCAGCAGCCAUAUCACUCUGCAACUCACAACUGGCAACCUACUGAAACUAAGCAGGUGUGAGCCUGGUCAGUACCUGGAUGGGAGACCUCCUGGGAAAUACUAAGGUUGUUGCUGAAA
Ribosomal RNA from Lepisosteus oculatus (spotted gar), 119 nucleotides. NCBI's taxonomy places the organism in Eukaryota, Metazoa, Chordata, Actinopteri, Semionotiformes, Lepisosteidae. The record is from Rfam.